RNAcentral lists this unclassified non-coding RNA (324 nucleotides) under uncultured Chaetomium. Its description in RNAcentral is "sequence contains ITS1". The stretch from base 1 to 105 matches the Rfam family "5.8S ribosomal RNA", at positions 50 to 154 of the family's 154-position model. Lineage: Eukaryota; Fungi; Ascomycota; Sordariomycetes; Sordariales; Chaetomiaceae. The record is from RNAcentral.
GAAAUGCGAUAAGUAAUGUGAAUUGCAGAAUUCAGUGAAUCAUCGAAUCUUUGAACGCACAUUGCGCCCGCCAGUAUUCUGGCGGGCAUGCCUGUUCGAGCGUCAUUUCCACCAUCAAGCGCCCGCCGGGGCUUGUGUUGGGGUCCUGCGGCUGCCCGCAGGCCCUGAAAAUCAGUGGCGGUCUCGCCGGCACGACCGAGCGUAGUAGCUUUCUAUUAGACCUCGCUCAGGGAGUGCGGCGGGCGCCGGCCGUUAAACCGUCCCCACGACGCCUCUCUCCGAAAGGUUGACCUCGGAUCAGGUAGGAGUACCCGCUGAACUUAA